UUGCUUAGAAUGAUUUCACAUUACCCCUUAUAAAACAAAACAACCACUAAAGACGGUGCUUGAUGAAUCUGUGAGCAAUAUAACUAUAUAGCAGAAUGAUGCUUUGUGGCAGUGAAAGUUUGGAAAUUCCCUUAUGAAGGAGAAAAUGAUGCAUCUGGUUUGGAACCAACUUAUCUACACUUGAAAGAGCCUGCUGUUGGGGGAAAUGAUCUCACCAGUGAUAAAAGGAGGAAGUGGGUGGGGGAGGCCCACAGUAGAUCAAUCAUCCCCACCCUUGGACUUGGACAGGCUCCCUGACACUGUCUAGCCCUGACCACUUAUUUGCCUAGAUUCUUGUUAGCUGUCAACACAUUGAUGCUAAGGAAAUUCAGUUAGUUCAAGACAGGUUGUUUUUCCUCUUUUAAUUUUUUUUUUAAAAUGUGUUCUUUUCAGAUACACGCGGCAGGGAGACGACGAUUCUCAGUCAAGAUCUCUUGAGUCUAUUUUCCUUGGAUGUUUUUGCUGGUUCUCAUUAAAAAAAAACAAAAAACAAAAAAAAAAAACAAAAAAAAAAACAAGGAUGUUACCUAUUUAUUUAUUUAUGCAUGGGGUUAAAUAUUCUGGUUUUGGUCUACACAGUGAAAAAUAGCAUUAUUGCUGAAUGUCAAAACAAUCAGACCUGAUUACCAUUCAAGUCUUACUGUGCAAAGGCAGCACAUGACUGUUGCCUGGGACUCCUGAAGAUCUCAAUGUCUGGCUCCUUCCUUUUUCUUCAGAGCCCUGCACCUUAAACAGUAGAUGGCAGUGUGAGAUGGGGAAUUUAAACCUUGGCAGCUGUUUGCUUGAAACUAGCCCAGGAAAAAUGGCUUUUUGACUUGGAAGCAUUUAUGAAAUGAACUUUCAGGCAGAGUUUUGUCUGGCCGCCAGGAUCUCGCCCUGGAAGGUGCUGGCAACCCACAGGUGAGCCUGCGCGAGGGCUUUGUUUGAACUGGAGCUGUUGCCCUGCUCGGAAGCAAGAUGGGGUGCAUUUGGGCACAAUGCAUUGUCACUGAGCCAAGGAAACCGCUGUUUCACCGUCCAGGCAAGCCUGCACCCCAACCCGCCCCUUCCUGGGGGAGGUACACCUCCUCCUUUUCCUUUCUGGGAAAUUCAUGGUGUUUAAAUCUAUGAAAUAGAGACUUUGAUGUAUCUAAUGUAUUAAUGCUGCUUCAGGUUUUCAGUUAAUCAUCACUUUCCUUUCUAUCCUAAACCUGUUAAAAAUCAGAGGCUUUUUAAACGGAAAAGAAAAUUAAAUUAUUUAUGGGAGAAUUUCUCAGUAAGUUUGAAAGGACACCACUCCUCGUGGCUUAUCAGAUAUGGAUUUUGUUUAGAAUCUUGAAUAAAUUAUGGAAAAGAGGACAGCACUGAAGCUGGUUUGAGUUUCUCUUCUGUUAUGGGCUCUUAGCAAUCGCAGUAUUUUGUAUCUGUGGUUUACCCAAACAUGUUUCCCUCUAGAACACUUUAUAACAAAGUACGUUUAAAGAAGGGAAAAACAUUUGACUCACUCAAUAUUUUAUUUAAUAGAGAAGGAAUUAAUAAUUCUAAGAGGAUGCUUGUAUUGCAGGCAGUAAUUAUAGAAUUUAAAUCGGGUGCAUAAUCUGUGUAUCCUAAGGUUGGUGAUUCUUCUUCUUCUUAGACCUAUGUAAAAACUCCAUUUCCUUACUUUUGGAUAUAAUUUCUAGACCUGUUAAAUCUCAACUCUUGUGUAAUGCAACCCACAUUAUUCCACAGUGUUAAGCUCCACUUUCUUCAGCCGUAAAAGUGGAAAAUAGUUUUUAUUUGCUUCACAGAGCCCGAUAUACAGUAAGUGUUGGCCAUUUAUAAUUUAUCCAGAUAUGCAAACUCAUUAGCUAUGAUUGUUAUUAUACAGAAAUUAGUGUAGGCAUAUUGUCAAACAAAAUUGCUUUUCCUACUUUACAAAAUAAUUCAAAAAGAUAGAGAAUAUUAACACUACUCUAAACCAAGCAAAAUUAGGCAGGUAAAUUUUCUGUUCAAAAUAUAAUUAUAGAAAAGUGCAGAAAAAUUUGGAACCACUAGUAAGAACACUCAUUAUCGUAAAUAUGGUUAAAGUGAGAAAAAUAGAGUCUUACACAAGUCUCCAUACACAUGGUAUGUGUGUGUGUGUGUGUGUGUGUACACACACAUGUAUUUUAAUACAUUACUUCAACAAGUACUUUGGUUAAUGAGGGGCAUUUUCAGGAUGUAGGGCAAAUAGAAGCAGGAAAAUAAAGUAUGAGCAGAAGUCACACCCAUCUCUUCCUUUAAAUAGGCAGGCCUUCCUUUUGUUACAUGAGGCUGGGGCAGAGUGUGAAAGGGUAGAAGGGAGUUUGGACUUAAAAAUAGUAAUCACCUUCAUGAAUCCAAAACCUUCCCUUGAGAAAACCGUUUAGUGAGCAGCUCGUUGUGGAUUUGGUGAAUGUGAACUGAGAGCAGUUGCCCCACAGGGUCGUGGUGAAUUAUCAAGAUAUUUUUUUCUGUCAUAGGUGAACUUGUCAUUAAAUGUGGUACCCACAUUUAAUCCCAGUGACUCAGGAGACUGAGGCAGGAAGAUCGCUAGUUCGAAGACAGUUUUGGCAAAUCAGCAAGACCCUGCCUCUAACAACAACAACAAUAACAUUUAAAGAGAUGGGGCAGUGGUCAGUGGAGAGUCCCUGGGUUCAAUCUCAGUAACACACACACACACACACACACACACACACACGAACCAAAAAAUAACAAAACCAGAAGUUAUUUUCCAACACUAUCUCUUUUACUUUUUCACAUUUUCUUCAAGUUGUUCAUUGAUUUUGCUUUUGUUAAACAUUAACUUUGCUAAGGUCCAGUUUCUUCUCCUGAUUCUUCCAAGAUUUGAGAUCUUGGGCAAUUUGCUGAACAUCUGUGUUCUUGCCUGCAAAACAAAAAAGAAAAAUAAAAGAAUGAUAACAUCUCAGGUGACUGUGAGAAGAAAGUAGUUAAUACAUAUAACACCCUUUAGCUCAGUGUUGGGCACAGAGUACGUUUUCAUUCAAUAGGCAGCCAGAGUUAAAAAAAAAAAGGAUGCUUUGACAUUUAGAGAAUUAGAAAACUAUUGCAUAUUCUGACUAAAAACAGCUCAGAAUUCAUUAUCUUCCUCCCCUCUUUUUAUACUUGAGGAACAUCAAGCUAGAAGAUUUAAGUAAACCUUGGUAAUAUGGAAUGAAUUAGUCAGAGGCCUUUAAUGAUAAAGAUUGACUCACACAAUUAUGGACACUGAGAAAUCUCAAGAUCUGCAGUCACAAGCUGGAAUCCAAGAUCGCUGCUGGGUAGCUCUGAAAGUAGAAGAGAAUUCAAUUGUCUUGGAGCUAGAGGGUUUAAGACCAUCUGAUGGAGUGAAGGUCUCCAUCUUCUUUGGUACAUUGGACAAGCGGCGCUGGAACGUCAUUCAUGGUUUUCUUGACAUGGAAACUAAAUUGUUAGGUCUAAUGAUAUACCUCCCAUCUCAUGGAAACCUAAAGCUACAGGCUGCAGUGAAGAGUUACAAUACAAGAUAACAAAAUAAAGGAUAAAGCAGACCGAUUGAUUAUUCCAGUUCAUUAUGAUAGAAAUUUCAGGACAAGGUUCCAACACAACAAGAAAGGAACACAGCGUUCUUCAUUCUGGCUGGCAAAAUGGAUUAAGCCCAACAAAGCUGAGGAGAUGGAGUGACAAAAGUUCUUACCAAGAAUUUUGAGUUGUAAUUACAGAUUCCAUUUAAAAUAAUCAGUCCACUUUAAAGGAAGCCAUUUGACUGACAUUAUGUACUUGACACCUGGAGAAGAGAAGUUCAAUGACUUUUUAGGUAAGUACAUCAUUGUCUAUGAUGAGGAAUGUAAAUGAAGGUGAAAGCUGUUUGAGAAAAUUGAUAUGGUUCUGAAAAUUUAUGUAAAUAUAAUCUUUAAAAAAUAUUAAAAUUCUAAUAUACCUGUGAAGCUAUUUACUUACUAAAAAUCAGUAAAAGUACAUGCUGCUAGUCUUCUCUUCACUCUAGAGCUAAAUCUAAUUUAAUUUUAAAGAUGAAAGUACCCUAUGGAGAGUAUGCCUAGCCUAUACAUGCAGUAUACACAUUACGUACUGAGCUGUCUAUGCAAACACACCUACAUAUUUACAUAUAUACAUUUGAUGCAUUUGUAUCAUAUUUAAAAAAAUGUAUCAUGUCCAUUGCAAAAUAAAUUGCUAAACUGACCUGAGGCGAUGGGUUUAUGUUAUUCACUGAUCACUAAGCAGUUAGAUUUACAGCAGACAUAACAGAUUGAUCAGGUUGAAUUGGCAGGAAACAGGCUAAAGCACUCGGGUGGCAUUUGCCACUUCCGUUAUAUUCUCCUAAUUAGAGGAUUUUAACUAAGCCAUUUGCAGGAUGGUCAAUAAAGGCAUUCACAUCAGGACUUAUUCAAAAAUGAGAAGUGUAUUUGGAGCAUAGCAUGGUUGGUCAGAAUCUGGCAUGAUUUUUUUUUUCUUUUAAAAACAAAGAGACAAAUCGGGUUUGCUUGUUUGUUUAUGUUUUGACGCUGGGUAGACACUUGAUUUUCUUUUGAGAAUCCAGGAAAAUAACACACUCAUUUUUAUAGGCAGGUCAAGUUUACUUUCAAGAUAAAGAGAAAAGACCUACGUUUGAAGGCUGAGCUUGGCUGCCAAGGCACAAAACAAGAACUUGAGAAUUGGUUCUGCAGCUUUUGUUUUCUUUUUUUUUUUUUUUAGCAGAAAUUGUCAAUUACCCAUAAUUAAUAUUUACUGAGGACUCGAGGGGUUGCAUCAGGUCUGAAGGAAUGUCAAACACACCCACAAAAAGUUAUGUUAUUUCAAGUUAAAUAUAGAUUUGACUGCAGUGUUUUCCCACUAGGACCAUAUUUUUUCAUUCCUUUAGAAAUCUUGUUAUAUAUUUUUAAAGAAGGGUCGGCCAUAUAUUCUUUAACUUGUUUCUUUUUUUUUUAACUUCUCCCUGAGGCAAAAAGAAGCAGCGACGACAAAAAUAAAAGUUUUUAUGAUCCUGCUGAAUCAAGAUACUAAAACAUGAGUUAAAUGAAGAGGCGUGGUGGUUUUAAUGAAGAAAAAUAAAACAAUUUAAGCGUUGCCAGGUGGAAAAUGAGACAAUCUCUUUACAUGGAAUGUGUAGAAGGGGAGGAGGCUCAUGGAUGCUGGGAAGGCAGUUUCCAAUGUCAGGAAUUUUUUGCCAUGGUCUUUGAUCUGCAGUCCAAUUUUAGUCUUGGUCUAAAAGGGAAAAAAAAAUGAAGAGGAAAACUAUUACUUGCUUUAAUGAAAAAAGUCUCAGUGAACCAAGGCUAACUAUGGGAAAAACAAGCCAGGAAAAAGGGUGUUGAUUCACAAAAGCAAGCAAAUCUUAAAAACAAAAAUCAAAGCAAUACAAAAAUCCGCUCCCCCCACCCCCUGCUACAAACCAAUCCUUGAAUAGCUUCACCAUUAAAUACUUCAUGUGCUGUCCAUCCAAUGUCACAUGAUUUUGGCUUCAUCUGAGUGUCUUUUCAAUGAGUACGACCUUCUGUGUUUUGAAGGAGUAGCCAUUGGUUCCAUCUGCAACCUUUAUUAGUCCCUGACUUCAAUUUCUACAAUCAUGGAAGGAAUCCUCUGCUGCAUUCAAGAAUAUACUAUUUUUUUAACAUUCUGUGGAUCUUGGUUGAUAAAGAUUUUGUUCUGACAUAAAAGACGUGUUAGAACUGGAAAUAAAUCUUAGGUUUCUGAUUCCGGUGUAGGAAGUAGAUAAACAUUGCUACCAUAGCAAAUCCGGUAAGGGAAAGAGAUCACAUAUUUUUUAAACAUGCUAAGACUCAUAAUAAUUAAAAAUAGAAAGUAAAUGGGCUUUGGAUGCAGCUGUGUGAUAGAGCAGUUGCCUGACAUUCAUGAAGCCUUGGGUUCAAUCUCCACCAAAGCAAAAAAACAAAAAGGAAGCAAACAAUACAUUUUUUUAACAAUGAUUGUUACUUGAAAGUAUAUACUUAGAUAAAUGACUAAUACUAUUAAAUAUUAUUUUAUUUGGAAUCUAAAGACAUACUUAGUUGCUUUGAUGACUAUUUUGCUUAUUUGAAUCAACAGAAUAGAUAUUGUGAUGCUAGUUUUAUCAAGGGAUGGAGUGGGGAGCUUUUUGUGUGUGAUCUUUGCAAUUUGUUUCUUUAAGACUUGUGGAGCUGGACGUCUCUGCUGCCAUCUUUUGUAAUCUUGUUGCUUUUUCACAUCACUGCAGUUAUCAUGACCCAGGAAGGCUGGAUGCUUGAGAAGAGGUUUGUUUCUCCCAUAUUCCAUUCACAAAUCCUCGUUUUCCCAUUUUACUAUUUAGCAUCAAAGUUUGUCUCUUGGCCUCCAGAGGAACAAUUUGGUAGGACCUAUGUCAUGAUGAGAAAUUCCUAUAGGUCUAAAGUGGUCCAUUUUUCUUGGUUUUAUCUGAGAGCUGGGUGUCGUGUCGUUUCUCCUUUCAGUUUACUGUAGAAAUAUGCUCAAGAGUCUACUCCUCAUCAGUUCUUCAGGUAUUAUUUUUCUGUUCUUUUCCAAAGAAAACUUCAAUUUCUACAAUUAAAAAUAAUAGCAAAUUUGCUGUUUGCAAAUUUCCUGACUCUGCGUAUGAAAAUUCUAUUAUACCCAUUUGUAUAGAAAAGGUUCCCACCUUACCCACGCUCGGAUCUAUACUGCCAUCAAAGUAGAAAACCUUCCUCUAACACAGUUACACGGUUUGCAGUCUCUUUUUUCAUGUUAUUUUUGAGGUUGUAGUUGUUUAUCUUCAGGCAGAUUCCAGAGUCCGCUCUCACUUCUCUGAAUACUCAUAGGUUCACUCUAAACAACAUAAUGUCAUUUUCCCUGAACGUCAAUAAAUCUGAUAUAUUUUGACUAUUUAUCUCACAGGCAAUAAAGAUCCUUUGACAAAGUGCAUUUCAUGAAUUAGCUCAAAUUACAUUUGGGCUCCUUUAGAGCUUCAGAGAAAGGUGCCAAACAUUUGAUACAACACGACAUUCUAUUUAACUUCAGGGGAGAACAGAACUUCUGAUUCUCUCAUUAAAAGAAAAGAUAAAAAAGUCUGUUUUGUUAAAAAAAAAAUCUUCAGGCCAUUUAUUUUAAUUUAUCCGUCACUUUUAUUAAAGCAUUUCAAGGUGAUGUAUGUUUCCUGAAGUUUAGGUAUGAAUCAAAAUGAGUCAAUAUGUCUAAAAUGCACAUACUUCAUUUUUUGAGAUCAUUUAUUGUCCACUAUUGAUUAUGAAGUAUUAAAAUGAACAUGAAAAAUCAUGAAAUACUGCUAUAAGCCUUGGCUGCAGCACAUUUUACCUUAAUUCCUUUUAUCUGUCUUCUUUUCCACUUACUAGAUGUUUUCUGCCUCCCACAAAACAUUUUAGCUCAUAGUAAGGAUAAGUAAAUUACCUGCCAGUUGGAAAAAUUAAAACUUGAUCUCAUUAUGAUUUCAGUACAGAAGAGUUGUUAGUCAGCUUCAAUUACUGUAAUAAAAUACCUACGCUGAUCAACUUGUAAAGAUGAAAGGUUUAUUUUUGGCUCAGUUUGGGAAGUUGCGGUCCAUGCUUCUUUUGGACCUGUGAUGGAAUAUCAUGGAAGACCAAAGUUGCUUAUGUCCUGGCUAGGAUCUGAAGAAAGAGGAAGAUCAUGCCCCAAAUGCUGAAGACCCCUGACUAUCACAACCUUUUAAAGGUUCCUCCACCACCUCACAAUGCCAGUCUGGUGACUAAGGCUUUAAAACAUGGGCCUUUGGAUGAUGUUGCAGACCAAAGUAUAGCAAGGGCUUAAUAGCUUCUCCCACCCAGCUUUUCCUGUAUCUGACUGUUAAGGUUUGGUUAUAAGAAGUUCUCUUACGAGUAAAGCUCUGAAUAUGGGGGAGGUAUGCAUUGUUCAGCCAAUUUAUUGAGUUUUCUUGUGUGUAUUUUUCCUAAUAACUAGAGCCCUCGAACCAAAACAUUAGCCAAUGGCAUUUCUUGGGAAAGAGGAAUUCAAAAAUGUGUUCUCUUGUGAUGUUUGUCUGCACUCUUUAGAGUUCACAGGACUUUUAUAAUCAGUACUUUCCUUCUUCUGUCAUCAUGAUCCUCAAAUAUAUUGACAGUAAUGGACUAGCAAACUUGUAUAUGAGUCAGCCUGUUCUUCUAAACUUUGCAAAAAAGUAAGCAUAAAAAUCUUGACUGGUUUUAUUACAGUUUACUCAAAUGGCAUGCUGUUUUUCUUUUCCUCAAGAAGCUAAUAAAAAUUUGUUGGGCAUCUA
Long non-coding RNA from Marmota monax (woodchuck), 8215 nucleotides. RefSeq lists it as uncharacterized. The transcript is spliced from 4 exons. The record is from RefSeq and is a predicted model, not a curated record. Lineage: Eukaryota; Metazoa; Chordata; Mammalia; Rodentia; Sciuridae.